This 435-nucleotide ribosomal RNA is filed under the name uncultured bacterium. RNAcentral's name for it is "partial 16S ribosomal RNA". It matches the Rfam family "Bacterial small subunit ribosomal RNA", at positions 27 to 507 of the family's 1533-position model. The record is from RNAcentral.
GAGCGAACGCUGGCGGCAGGCCUAACACAUGCAAGUCGAACGAACCUUUCGGGGUUAGUGGCGGACGGGUGAGUAACACGUGGGAACGUACCUUUAGGUUCGGAAUAACUCAGGGAAACUUGUGCUAAUACCGAAUGUGCCCUUCGGGGGAAAGAUUAAUCGCCUUUAGAGCGGCCCGCGUCUGAUUAGCUAGUUGGUUGAGGUAAUGGCUCACCAAGGCGACGAUCAGUAGCUGGUCUGAGAGGAUGAUCAGCCACAUUGGGACUGAGACACGGCCCAAACUCCUACGGGAGGCAGCAGUGGGGAAUCUUGCGCAAUGGGCGAAAGCCUGACGCAGCCAUGCCGCGUGAAUGAUGAAGGUCUUAGGAUUGUAAAAUUCUUUCACCGGGGACGAUAAUGACGGUACCCGGAGAAGAAGCCCCGGCUAACUUCGUG